UACAGAGGUCCCGAGCGUUGUUCGGAUUCACUGGGCGUAAAGGGCGCGCAGGUGGGUUGGCAAGUUUGAUGUGAAAGCCCCGGGCUUAACCCGGGAAAGGCAUUGAAUACUGCUGAUCUGGAGGAUCGGAGGGGGGACUGGAAUUCUUGGUGUAGCAGUGAAAUGCGUAGAUAUCAAGAGGAACACCAGUGGCGAAGGCGAGUCCCUGGACGAUACCUGACACUGAGGCACGAAAGCCAAGGGAGCAAACAGG
Molecule: ribosomal RNA, 253 nt
Filed under: uncultured bacterium
Lineage: Bacteria
Description: partial 16S ribosomal RNA
Rfam family: Bacterial small subunit ribosomal RNA
Source: RNAcentral